GUGGGGAAUCUUGCGCAAUGGGCGAAAGCCUGACGCAGCCAUGCCGCGUGAAUGAUGAAGGUCUUAGGAUUGUAAAAUUCUUUCACCGGGGACGAUAAUGACGGUACCCGGAGAAGAAGCCCCGGCUAACUUCGUGCCAGCAGCCGCGGUAAUACGAAGGGGGCUAGCGUUGCUCGGAAUUACUGGGCGUAAAGGGCGCGUAGGCGGACAGCUUAGUCAGAGGUGAAAGCCCAGGGCUCAACCUUGGAAUUGCCUUUGAUACUGGCUGUCUUGAGUUUGGGAGAGGUGAGUGGAACUCCGAGUGUAGAGGUGAAAUUCGUAGAUAUUCGGAAGAACACCAGUGGCGAAGGCGACUCACUGACCCAAUACUGACGCUGAGGCGCGAAAGCGUGGGGAGCAAACAGGAUUAGAAACCCGUGUAGUCC
This 425-nucleotide ribosomal RNA is filed under the name uncultured bacterium. RNAcentral's name for it is "partial 16S ribosomal RNA". It matches the Rfam family "Bacterial small subunit ribosomal RNA", at positions 354 to 796 of the family's 1533-position model. The record is from RNAcentral.